AUGAAGGUACCCCCACUACUGCACCUAACUUUUGCGCACCCUACACGAGCCGAGUUACGCCAAACCACCUGUGUAUAAUGCCCACACACCUUUCCAUCAGCACAAGAGUUCGACUCAUAACUGUAGUCGGCUUUCUCCGCCACCCACAUGUCCACAGCCGCUGUUCCCGACAUGUCACCAGUGCUCAUGGCAAGGUUUUCGCCGUAUGGCCCACCGGAGUGCACGAGAUUGCAGUCACCAACAUGUUGGUUGGCGUAGUUUUGUGCAUAGCCUGCUACUUUGUCAUCCCACGUCAAGGGACCAACGCCUACUGCUGCUCGAGCGUCGUUGUGGGACUUGAGGUAGUCUUGGGUGUGUCUUGGGCAUGAGAGGAUUGGAUAAGGACUGAGCCUAAAAUGAAAAGGAGAGCUAGGGAAAUAUUGCACAACCCCAUGUUAAUGGUUUGUUCUCUUUGUGGAUGGGCAAAUGAGAUGCUAUGGUGCGGAGUAUUUAUAAUAGCGGGGAACGGUAAAUGUUGAUAUUAUGAGCUCUAAGAAAUUGAGGCAGAAAUUGAGGCAGAAAUUGAGGCUGUGGAAAUUUAUUUGCAUGACUAUCAAAGUUGAACGUUCACAUUACGUUAUCAACUGAAGAAACCAAACCGUCACUGAACUGAUAAAACAAAACCCUACUUCUAUAUUUCUUUACUUACAACGGCUUACUUUUACAAGUAAAAUUUAUGAGAGGAUUAACUUUUUUUAGUACUACAAGCGAUAUUCUAUAUAGUCUAGACGAAGAUGGAGAGAGUUUGAACUAGGAAAGAAGAUCUGAACCACUAUGACAAUCUACCACUUACAUGAGAAGUACGAAGAUUAGUCAAACUUUCUCGAGGUAAUUAAAUUGUCAGUAUAACAAAAAUAAGCAAUCGCAACAGCAAAAACGUGGCUACUGCUGGGGUAACAAUAAUAUCGAUCACUGACCUAGAUAUUAUGUUGCUAUGUAAUACUUUAAUUUCCCGAUAUUUGUUAACACAAUUAACAAUCCCUUGAAACCUUUGAAAUUCAUGUUGAUGAUGCAACAUUGGAACAAAUUGGAACUAAUUGCUUUGGUAAAUAAGCAGAUCUGCUUCUUCUUCUAAUUACGUUUGUCAUAUCUGUUUAUUUCUCUUUUAGAAAGGUAUAUGAUGGAUGCAUGUAGGAAACGUAUAUGUUCAUCUGUUGAAGGAAAGGUCUACUAAGCCUUCCCUCAAUUUCGGGGAACAAAUUGAUUAUCGUAAUUGUUGGAUUCAUGUAUGCAGUAAACUUUGAAAAAGAAAAUUAAGUCCGAUGCGGAAAAGCAUAUUCUAUGCACCGUUGCAAUACGUGUGGUAUACGGGUCUUCUCCGAAGUUUUAUUUUCUUGAAACAAAUAUUUUUAAAUGUGGAAAUCUUACUAAACUACACAAUCACCUAACCAUAAAUUUGGUAUUAUUAAUGGUUUUGAACUCCUCUUUAGGAAAACCGAAUUUAAGACUUUCAACUUACAAGUUAGGAAAAAAUGAAUACCACUACAUUGCAGUAGUAGAUCCACAAGUCUUCUUUGGAUUAAAUAAAAUAGAAUAUUAUGAAACUCUCAUUUUUUACCUAACAUUGUAGAGAAGAAUAAUUGAGUUAAGUCACACAAUUGUUAGGGUUCAAGAUUUUUAUAUAUUAAUUUCGUUGUAGUAAUUGAGAGAAUAAAGGACUGCAUUUUCUGAGAAUGAAAGAUGUAGUUGCAGAGAGAAUAUUUGAAGGACUGUAUAAGAUGCAAUACAUUACCAAUCCUUUCAUAUAUUUUAUAAUAUACAUAUUUAUUUGUUUAAUUACUACUUUAAGUUUUAAAAUUGUUAAAUUAUUUUUUCUUACUAUAUUAUAACAUAUGAAUGAAUAACAUCAUAUUACCGUUAAUACCGUGUUCAAAAGGGAUAUCCAUUGUACGUGGUUUAGUGUUAUCCGCGAAUGUCCUCAACGCAGGACUUUUACCCUAAUUGUGAUGGCAUUAUUAGCAUUAGCAUACUUUUGGGCAUAAAGGCUGCUACGUCAGCAUCCUACGUCAGAGGGCAAAUGUCACCUUUGGUAACACCUUGAGACGCACGAAAAUGUGGGACACGAUGGCCUGUAUGUAUUGGGAUAUUGAUAAUACUUGGAUACUCUCCGGGGAGUACCCAAUAUACACACUAUCUUAUGUGGCACACUAAAAUAAAGACACUUGGCAAAACUUAAUCUUCAAAUUCUUAACCAAUUAUUUAGCCAAACACUCAGGUACCGUUUGGUACGGGACGGAAUGGAGUGGGACGAGGCGUUCCGUCCCAUGUUUGGUGCGCCUAAAAUUGGUGGAACACGUUGUUCCACAGGACGAAUUUUGGGUGAAUUUUCGUUCCGUCUCACCCCCCUGGAACGACUUAUUCCACAUUCGUGGAACACAAAAUUAUAACCUCUCUGUCUCCUUCUUCUUCCUCCUUGUUUCCAUCCGAGGCGAUAUUUGCUACCUCUCCGUUCCGUUACAUCUUGUGCCGUACCGUCCCGUCCCGUUCCGUUCCGUUUGUCCCGUCCUGCCUGCAUACCAAACGAUACCUCAUUAUUGUGUUAGCCAAACGCCCAUCUUCAUUCACACCAAAUACACCGAGAUUUAAGCCACUGGCACCAGCAACGGUCCUCUCCCACGCCAGUGGCCACGGUCUUUGCCGUACAAUCACCGGCAAUGGUCCACUACCACAAGGCACCAACCAUGGUCCUCUCCCACCAGGACACCACCCCCGGCCACGGUCGUCUCCGAUCACAAACCAGCGUCUUCAUCCACUACUAUCAGCUACCGUCCCUCGCCGGAACUCAUGGCAUCUUCAUCGUUGUAAAAUCUGGAUCUCACGUAAGAGUAGAAAACCGUGAAAACGAGCACCCAACCUAGGGCUAGGCAAACGGGUACAGGAACUGUGGGUCGGGGAGGGUAAUAACGGUUCGGGGCGGGUACAGGCCAAUUCCUACUUUUAAAAAAGAGAAACAGGGCGGACCUUUGUGAUUUUCGGUUCAGGCCGGUUCCUGAAGUAUAGGAAUCGCGGGUAUACCCAGACCGGCCCGUUUGUAAUUAAAAUGAAUGGACCAGAUUGAUGAAUAAGCUACCAUAUCUAAUCUGAACCGUUGUUUUAGUUUUACCUAAGUUCUCUAUCUCUUUCAUCUUAUCCCGAUUCCUCUCGACUCUCAUUCUCACUCUCUCAAACUCUCAUACCUCAGUCUCUCGACAGUUCCUUUCCCUCGACUCCCUCGACUCCAAUCCCCUCACCAACCGUCGAUUCUCCUCGACGAAUACAACGGAACCACCCAUCAUCCUCCUCGACAACAUCCCAGAGAACACAGGCCAUCACCCUUGCCGUCGAUUCUCUCCUCUUCGACAGCAACCCCCGCCGUCGUGACCGCCAUCACCCCAUCCCCGUCGUCGAUGACACUGGUACCAGCCAUCAUCCCUUUAAAAUUUAGGUAAUUUUGAAUUAGGGUUUUGUUAUUAAUUUGAAUUUUGGGUGUAGGGAUUUUAGGGUUUUUAAAUUAGAAUUGGGAUUUUAGGGUUUUCAAACUAGGUUACUAUAGAUGCUGAAUGUAUAUGGUUGUAUCUAUGCUGCAAAUGUUUUUUUCUUGGAGUUGUUAGAUGCCUCAAUACUUUCGAACCUUGCCCUUCUUCAAAGAUUCACGCAGGGGAGGUUGUCGAUAGACCUUUUUCGCAUACAUUCUUGGGGUGCAAUCUCUUGCACCAGUACUCCUGAAUAUUUGAUAUUGAACACAUAAUAAACAUAAUGUAGGAGAAUUUAGAGAGAUUGGUUAAUGUUCCAUUUGCAUGUUGAUUUGUAAGAGGUUGUGUUUAACCCUCUAUUUCGGAAAACAUGGUUGCAUUUUAUAGCUAAAAGAAAAAGAAGUUUUUAGGGUCCUCUUUGAAAACCAUGACUAUUAAAGUGUGUUUGGAUAAGGGACUUUAAAGUUCCAAGAAACUUAAGGCUAAAUGGUUAAAAAUCACGACAAGAAGACUACCAAUGCACUAUUCAAGCACUACCAAGUUUCUUCUAGCACAUCAUAAAGAGACAGAACAAAGAACUUCCAAAUGACACCUAGAAAGGUGUGUCAUUUCAAAAUUCAAAGUUUUCUUAUGCGUAUUGCACCUAGUUAUUUUCUUCCUCUUAUCUAAUUGUUGCAGUGCAUCCUAUCAAAUAUAGCCCAAGAUCUAUGUUACUUUAAAGUCCCUAAUCCAAACGUGCCAUUAAAGUCACAGUUAGAGUUCCCUUUUUGAAGUGAUAAUUUAAUAACUUUAGCAUGGUUAUAUUUAGCCUCUUUGAAGUGGAAAAUAUUACAUCUUGAAAGUUUCAUAUUUCAGCUUCAAUUUCACAAUUUGUCAACUAAAAGAGAUAAGGGAAUAGCUUCUUGUGUAAAUUUUAUAUUUCUCAGAUGUCAUUUUAUACUUGAUUCCUUUUGUGUAAUUAUUUACAGUAUGUAAAUAUGCAUUUAUUCAGGUAUAACUGUGCCAAACAAUGUAAAGUUUCUGAUUUGAGAGGCAUGCAGUAUAACUAGGUAUAACUAGGUUUAAAGUUUCUUAUUUAACUCAUAUUUGACUAGGUUUAUGUUUUAGUCUCUUGGACUUUCGGAUAUUUUGUAUGUUGAUUUGAUUUUUAGAUGUUGGACAAUGUAAUAUUGUUAUUUUGGAUGUAUUGUUAAUCUAUGAACUUUGAUGUUGGACUUUGUAUUUAGAUUGGAUGUGAAUAAUGGUGAAUUUGUGCAAAAUCUGCAUAAAUGUAGUUUGUCACUUUCUGCAGACUGUGCAGUUUGCAAUCUGUGCAAAUCUGUGCAGUUUGCAAAUAUAUGCAGUUUCAUAUCUGUACAGAUUGCAAUCUGUACAAUUUUUUUUUUCAAACAACAAAAAAAAAGGGACCCGUGGACCCUGCCCGUUUCAACCUGGCCGGGUAAUGUCCGGUUCCUAUAUUAGAAAAUGUAAUCCCCGGCCGGGCCCGGCCCGUUUCCUUUGAACCUAGGUUCGAUCAGGUCCCUUCAAAUUGGGCCCGGCCCGGCCCAUGCCCAACCUUAACCAACCCCAUGAGCCAUCGUCCUCUCCGUAUGAAAAUCAAGGAACCCAUAUUUUUGGAUUGCCAGAUUGGGCUUCUGGAAAUGGAAUCUUCCACCACAAUUAGAUUGCCAUGAUUUUUUAAAAUAUGAAAAUGAAAGUGUUUGUCUGAUUGUGUGCUUUGGCGAGGAAGAAGGUGAGUGUUUGGCUACAGGAAUAAAUGAUGUUUGGUUAAGUGUGUGGGAGAUUUAAAUAAGGACAGAUGUCGUUGUUUUAUUAUGCCACAAAAGAUAGUGUGUAUAUUGGGUACUCCCCGGAGGGUACCCAAGUAUUAUCCUUGGGAUAUGGUGUGGAAAAGCUGCUUUGUUGAAGUCCACAUAAUUUUUUUUAAAUUUAAAAAAAAAUAUAUUGGAACCAUGUAUGUCUUUGGUUCCGGACGGAAGUGUAGGACACUAUGACCUGUAUAUAUUGGGAAGUGUGGAAAAUAUGGGACAUCUCUUUUCUUUAAAUUAUUGUAAUAAUUUUGAAUCAUUCAUCCUCCCCCUAAGAAUAAUAAUUUACAAAAAAUUGGAACUAUAUUAGAUCAAGCCUUUAGUCACAGAAGAAAAUGUGGACACGAUACCAGUAUGUAUUGGGAUAUAUUGUAGAGAAUUUGCUUUGUUAACGUCCGAAUGGAUUUAGGUACGACUAAAGUUGUAAUAUCGUUAGUUGUCAUUAGUAUUACUGUUUAGUGAAAUUAUUCUCCAUUUGUUAGUGGGGAGGUCUCAGUUUAACUAUGAGUUCAAAUUUACUUGUCACGUCCCGAUUCCGACAUAUGUCUAGGAUCGACAUAUGACAUCACUCAGUACUCGUAUAUCUAACAUACCUGCCUCCAGGAUAUGGACAAGCACAAGAAAUAUUCAAUUGUGUAGUAAUUUUUCAUGUACUUUAUGGCUACAUCUAACCUCUUUGUUAGACUACCUUCGUACCCUCCGACGAGAUCAAGCCAUUCGUAGUUCACCAUUUGUUAAACUAUGAACUAUUCGUAAAACACUUCCUAGCAGACAACAUAGAGUACCACACUACAUAUCAACCAUAAGCCAAACAUGAGUUAUCAUCUUACCAACACACAUAUGCUUUCCAACACCAUUCAACAAUCACAUCAAUCAAUAACACAUACAAUGCACCAAAAUGCAGGGUUAGAGCGACACAGUUAGGCAGAAGCUUGCAUCCCUGAAGCUUUCUCAAUUUAGACCGAAUCCAACGAAUCAACGAAGUCAACAAUGUGAUUUCGAACCACUCAACGAAAUCCUACAAAAUAGGGUUCCGGACCACUUAACGGAACCAAAGUACCAAACAGGAUUAUGGACCACUCAACAGAAUCCAAACCAGGAUACGAUUUCGGACCACUCAACAGAAUUGUAGAGUAUAAGGGAUUCUGGACCUUUCAACGGAAUCUGAGUGGAUACGAUUUCGGACCACUCAACGAAAUCCAGACGAAGCAAGGAAUCAGACCACUCAAUGGAAUCGAGUGGAAGUCUAAGAAACAUAACAACGGCUCAAAGAAACAAGACAUGAAUCAAGUUACUUAAUUUAGAAUGGCUCAACGAAACGAGAUAUGAAACAAGGUUCACUAGGAGCCCUCACAUUUCAUCAAACAAUUCAACAAGCACUUCGAAUCACAUUUCAUAAAUAUCACCAACACACAAGUCAAAUCACAUUUAAUAAACAUAGAUCAAUGGCUAAAUAUUAAAAAAAAAAUCACAUUUCAAUAGAAAUCACAUUUAUAAAAUCAAGUGAUAUUCACAAAGGAUACUAAAUACAAAAUCAGGGUAAUAACCAUAUCACAUAUCUUUAAGUCAUUCACUAACCAAUGUAGGCCCACUAGACUUCACUUAGUCUCUAGUAGUACUAAUUUUAGUAUUUAAGAACGAUUCAAAUCAUGUUGACCAAAAGUCAACUCUCUGUCAACGGUGGGUUCCACAACCCUACAUAAUUCGAUUUGGAACAUCUUCCCAUAGAUUUCCGAUCCGUAACCUCCUAAGAGUCUCAUUAAUCUUCUAGAACAAUAUUCUAAAAUUUUGAAAUGAUCCAACGGUCGGAUCUUCGCCAAUCGCGAAAAAUAAAUUGCUGUCAACAUUUGGUUUUACAAACUUAGAAAUUCAAUUUGGGAAGAUCCGUACGUUGGAUUUCCAAUCCGUAAGUUCCUAAGGUCCUCAAAUAUUAUGUUUAAUAACAUAUUAACAUUCAAUGACAAUCUAACAGUUGGAUCUUUGUUUGCUACAUUAGUCAAGUGGAGGACCCUAAUGGAACUAGGUCCAAACGAUAGAAUUUCAUCGAACAGAGGUCAAUUAUGAAAUUAGAAUAUCAAAUUUAGCCUAGAAAUUUAAAGUUGGCUCACUGGCCAAAUGCAACAUGAGCCACCGCAUGCGGCGGUUUCCAGUAAACGGAAACCCAAUUUUCUAACUAACUCCAAAAAUUACCAAAAUUUUAUAAGAUUGUAGAGCACAACAAGGGAACAACUUUCAUACCUGGGCUGAAGUCCAAUUCGGUAGGGAAACGCCUAACCCUAGAAUUGGGUGUUCAUAAAUGGUAGAUUUGUCGCAUGCACCCAUGAAGCCCUCGACUUUGAUUUUCACGAAAAGACACCAAAUCAACUCAGGUUUUGGGUGGAAAUGGAAGAAGACUUGAUGCUGAGUUGCUUCCAGGUAAUGGGUGGCUACAAAUCGCCAGAAAAACCACCUGAAAAGGCAUCGAAAAACAUGCCGGGUUCGAUCUCGGCUCAAUGGGAGGGAUCUGAUUUCCUCAUUCUCUCAUACCUCAUUUCCCCUCCUUGCUUUCCCUCUAAUUCGCCUGUCUCUCCCUCAUUUCUCUCCUUAUCUCUCCAUCCAAGCCACACACGUGGCACCAAAUCAGUGCUCCAGCAAAUCUGGAGCCUUCCAGAUAAUGGUCAAAUGACCAUUUCACCCUUGUCUUUACUCGUUUAUAUCUCGUUUGUUAUAGCUCCGUUUGGCAAACAAUUUUCGCCUAUGCACUCAUGAGGUCAAGCUCUAUCCAAAUAUGUAAAUAAAAGUGACAAAACAUAUAAGAAUUAAAUACAUUCUUGAAAAAUCCGUUUAGUUCAUUAAGGUCAUUUUCAUCCUUUUACUUAUCGAAAAAAAAAACUAUACGCCGUAAUUAUAAAUGCGUCGAAACUAAGAACACGAAAUACAUAAUUUUAAAUAGUGAAAUAUGGGGACAGGAUGUCAUAGCCCGUCCCGAAAUAUUUAUUUUCAACAGCGUGAAAUUACUUAUUUAGCCUUGGACUUUUAUGUGGUUAUGUGGGUUAAGUUUUAUUUGGACCAAUUCAUAGGUUUUCCUAAGUUUUUGGAACACUUAAGACUUAAAGUGUUUGUUUUGUGUAUUGGAAGACCAUGUAGGACCACCACACACCGACACACACACUCAACCUUUCCCCCGUGCCCUCUCUCUCCUAUCCCUUUCGAUUUUUCUGCAACAUCCGUACAAGUGUACGGACAAAUCUCGAACCCUCUCAUUUAGACGUAGAACUCUAACCUCGAGAACUUGAAAGCUUUAAAACCCCGAGAACUCUAACCCCAAAUUUCAUGCACUAAUUAAUGUGAGGUUUUUAGGAGCUUUUAAGGACAUAGGGAGCUUUGGAUCAUCUUCACGAAGCUUGGAGAAGAAAACCCAAGCGAUUUGGACAUCGGGAAAUCAAGUUCGUCGAGUUUUAAGUUUUCGCUGGAUUAUUGAGCUUUCUCUGGCGAAUUUUCAUGGAUUUCAAGCCUUAAAAUUGGUAUGGAUGUGUUCUUCUAGUUAUAAGCUUUAAAUUGAGACCAAUUUCAUGAGUUUUAGUUAAGAAAUGACUGAUAUAUAAUGAUUUUAAGAUUUUCCAGUUUCCGGCGACGACGACGGUCGCCGGAGUUCGAAGGUAGGGGAUAACGGAAUAUUCCGUCAACUUUGACGAAAUAUUCCUAACGGCGACUAAUGAUGUUGGUUGAUUUUAACAAAAUAUUUCUUAAAUUUAACGAAAUAUUCUUAACAGCCGUUAGGCCUCAGUUAAGGUUUGGCCACAUGUGGGGGAGCGUAGGGUCGUGCCUUCGCCAGCGCAUGGCGGCGCGUGGGCGGUCAGAAUUUUUUUCUAAAAAUAUGGGGAUGUUCGUGAGGUUCAUCUCGUUUGAGCAAUAUAUGAGAAGUUAUUAACUGGUUUUGUCUAUGUGGUUUAAAUAACGUUUAUUCAGUUAUUUUACAUAUAGGUGAGACCUAUCCAGAGGACGAGCGCAGUUAAGGGCGACUCGGGGGCUACAACCCUUCGACAUACCAGUGAGUGGGCUUUUGGUUUUCAAUAUAUAUUUAUAUACUUGAUAUUUUCCCAUAAAAUGUGUUUAUAUGAAUUAGUAUAUGAUGAAUAAUGUGAAUUGGUGUUAUGGAUGCUCAGGUAAGUACCAAGUGAGUUAUGUUUUGUUAUGUGAAAUGUCGACAUUGUGAGAUGUGAUUGAGAGCUCAUAAACCUGCACCCCAGGUGAUUGUGAUUUAGCCACAGAUAUGGCACAUGUCUGUUUAUGAUGUCACAUCCCGCACCAUAUGCUCACAUUGGAUCCAAUUUAAGUGCACAUUCUUGUCGUACAGACCACUAUACAUGGUUCCGACUCAUAGGUGACUAGCGAUUUAUCGCACAGCUAUCAUGAGAGCGUAGCAUUGAGCAUAACUAUAUUACACACAGUCUUGUCGUACAGACCAUUACAGUGGUUCCGACUCGUAUGCAGUGUAGUGCCAUAUAGGUCACUUGUGGUGACUCCAACUAGAUCGAUUAAUGAGUUAUGAAUUCAGCUGUACAGACCUCUGUAAAGGUUCCAGCUAAUAUAUUGUUGACCAUGAACUUAUUUGCACCUGAGUUACUUAUUAUGUUCUAUAUUUGCCAUGGCAUACUUAUGUUUAUAGUUAUGUGAAGCAUGAUUUGAAUAUAUAUAGGGGUGUGAUAUUCACACACCCCAUUUUACUUUUCACACACCCUUCUAAUUUUCGGCCAUAGGAUCGAAUGAAUUAAAGAAAAUUAACAAGUAGAAAUUAACAAGGGGUGUGUAAGAAGUAAAAUAGGGUGUGUGGAUAGCACACCCCUAUAUAUAUAUAUAUAUAUAUAUAUUCUAUUUCUGGGAAAAUUAUACAUGUUUUACAGCGAGGGGUUAGAACACUUGAUAAAUGAAAUGGUCUUUGAAAAGCUUUGUUUUUGCCCACUCACACUUUAUGUUUUGCGCCCUUCCAGGUUCUAAGGAGGAGUGUUUGUUGGUGGCAUCGAGGAGUCAACGGCCGUUAUGACAGAUUAUAUCUAUGCAGGACAUCUUUGGGUGUCGUUUAAUUAGUAUUUGUUUUCUGGGCUGAACUUAGGCUACUUACGCUCUGAUUGUGUAUCCACACCUAUUCUAGUACUUGCCUUGACUAGUACUAUUAUGAGUUGAUUUUUAUUUAUUCGUAUUCCCUAUUAUCUUUACUACUUCCGCACUAUGCACAUGGCUACAUCACCCUCACGUGAUGGUCAGCAUGCCUUAACUCGGGUCGGGAUGUGUCACGGGAUUUCACACUACUUCCACCAAUGUUGUUGAUAUUUUUUUUAGGAUUGUACUUGGGUACUCACUAGUGAGUACUCACAUUUUGAUUGUGAUUAUUCAGCUUUUGAUUGUCCAAUAAUAUUUUAGGAGAAAUUAGGUUCACAUCCUUCUUUUUGCUAUUCCAUUGAUUAAAAUCCUAUUCAUUUUUCAAUUUUUGAUCAAGGUCCUUGGGUAUUAAUAACAUCAUUAAUUAUUUGAAUAAUAAAAUAUUUUUAUUUUUAAAUAUAUUCCUUUAGUGUUAAAAACGUCACAAUUAGUAUAUUUAUGGUUACAUUUUUAUCAUAUAUUUUUAUUUUUAGUUUGUACCAAUUUUUUUUUUCAUUUUUAAUUUGUACUCAUAUAUUAGUUUCUUUUUGUGCCCAUAUUUUUUAAAGUUUUAUUUGUGUUUGUACCCAUGUUUAUACCAUCACAUGACAUUGUCUAUUUAAUCAAUGAUAGAAAAAUUGCAUAUGGUAUAUUUAUGUUUUAUGCCUAAAUUUUGUAUCAUGUAUUUAUAUUUUUAGUUUGUACCCACUUUUAAUUUGCAACAUUUUUCUUAAAUUUUUAGUAUUUUCUUUUUAGUUUUAUUUUGUACCCAUGUAUUAAUUUCUUUUAGCGCCUAUAUUUUUUUAAAAUUCAUUUGUACUCAUAAUUUUUUUAAUCUUUUAUAUGCACCUUAAUUUAUUUAUAAUGUACUCAUUCUUCUUUAUUAAUGUACUACUUUGUUAUAUGUGAAAUGUACCAAUUUUUUUGUAAAAUGUACCAAUUUUUUUAACACUAUGGAUACAUUCUUUUGCUAUUUAUUAUUUCUUAUUUUUACAUAGUUUUUUUUUCAUUUAUUCAAUCAAAAUGUUUGAAUUUUUUUUAUUGUAACCGUUUAUAAUAGUAUUAUAAUGAGGGAUUUUAAAUUUAUAGGAUUAUAAAUCUCAAAAAAUAUCAAACAAUUAAUGUCAAAACUAUAAAAAUAUAAAUAUUAAUUGUAAUACAAUGAGGUGUACAAAGUCAAUGGACUUUGAUCAAACUUUGAAUAUCAUUAAGGUUUUAGUAAAAGAAUGUUAAGGAUUAGGGACCUCAUCCAAAGUUUCCCAAUAUUUUAUCACAUAUUUUAUUGUUUUGAAAAAUAAUGCACAUAUGUUAAUAACUUUUCUUGGGUAAUAAAAAAAUAAAGAACAUAUGACAUUUCUUGAAUCGGCCAAAAUCAGAAAGUGAGUACAUAGAUUGGUGAGUAUUUAUGUAUUUAGGGUUAGACUAUUAUUUAAUCUCUGAGAAAAAUUUGGCCUUCUUUUUUUAAUGCUUGAUUUGACCCAAUUAUGUAUUUUGAAUGUGGAAUGCUUGCUAACAUCAAAUACCUAAAUGUUGGAACCAAAUCCAACCUGCAAAACAGUAAAACAAUUGUGAGCAAUCCUUAAACCCAGGGGGAGAUGGGUGUUCAUGCCAAAAGCUUUCCAACGGUCAAGUAAGUGAAUGAUUUUUAGACUUAAGCAGUGAGCAAGAGAAUUGAAGUGUAUAGAUUGUGUUACCGUGGAUGCGUCCUAGGUGGGUGUAUUUAUAGUGUGGGAGAGAGACCUUUUUAGGAUAUAAUCCUCGUUCUAAGCCGAAAGAAUCCUAAAUGAUAUAUAGUAAGUAGAUAUUGUAUCCUCUUAGGAGUUGUGAUUACUUGCAGCGCAGGCCUAUCCUAAGAUUGUAGGGACUCCAAGAGACUUAUAGGCUCUGAUUGUGUCCAUAUUCGGAUCAGAUCACAUAUGGAACAAGCAUGGUCAUCUAACGAAGUCGUUAGGACUCCGCCUAGUGCCCCAGAGUAGAAUGAUGGUAGCACCCUGUUUCGUCUGAUACAGCUCCACCCAGAGUUAGAGCUAGUGAGUCCAUGAUCGAACUUCUAAGGUAACAACAAUAGAAUUAGACUCACUCUGGCCUUGAAAAAUCAUGGUCCCCCGCUGAAUUCAUUAAAAAAACAAUUUCUCAGCAAGUUAACCUACUAUUAAGGAAUACCAUAAUUAUGGUUCAUGAAUUUUCAUUGCUGGAGUAAGGCAGAUCGAAAUACUAAUACCUCAAAAGUUCUAUCAUGGACUCAACAACUUCAGCCGCGAAGCUGCAUAAAUGGAUCAUGGAGCAGUGUUGUCACUGUCAUCCUGUUUCGGAGCAGUGAGUGAAGUUCGUCAACUUCACUAAGAUUGACCAUACUUGUUCAGUAAGACAUAGAAACCUGAUCCAAUAAGGAAUCAGCCAUGUUUCCUACAUUAUUGGAAUCCUUACAAUCUAAGGAUUGACGUGUGGCUAAAGUAAUCAUACUCCUAAAAGGAUGCAAUAUCUACUCCAAGGUAUAAUCUAAGAUUGUCCCAGUUUAACAUGAAUUCCAUUUUCUAAAAGGACUUUAUCUUGAUUGGUAUAAAUACACCAUUCUUAGAUUCAUAUCUAGUAACACAGUUAUGCACACUUAUUCUCUUGCAUAUAGCUUGAGUUUCAUAUAUUUUUUACUAACUUGGCCGUCAUAAAGCCUUUGACCUGCACCCCUAGUCCUUGGCUGCUUACGUUGUUUGUUCUUUUACAUGUUAAACGAGUUUGUGCAUCUCCUCCACACACGGUGGUGCACACAUUUAGUUUUAGCAAAAAUGUUUGUUAUACAAACAAAAACAAAAAGUCGAACACAAUGAACACAUAAAAUCGCAGCAUGGAUAUUCAAUUGAUAUCUAAAUACGUCUAUAUUAUAUCAUGAAACUCCUAACUAAAAUAUGUUGCUACCAGGUAUUAUAUUUAUAUCCAUAUGGCAAAGCAUAGAAAUUAAGACUAACAAUUUUGUUAGAAAAAUCUAACAAUAAUAAUAAUCAUGGCUUUAAUCAGCCCCUUUUUUUGUUACCUAAUUAAAAGGUAAAAUUGAAGAACAUAGGUUGGGAAAACAAAAUCACAAAGAAUACAUGAAACCGACACCUGAAGCAAAAAGGAUGGUGCGGAGGUGGGAUGCAUACCUAUUGUAUAGACUGGUAGACAACCCGCGGAAAAGAUAUCUAUGGGAUAGGCAUGGUGGAAAGAAGGCAAUAAGAGGAGGAAGAAGAAUACUGCUUUGAAUCUUCAACAAUGACUACCAUGGUGGACAGAAAAUAUAUAAAUCAAUUUGCACACAUGUGGAUGCAAAUUUUCGCCUUAUUCUUCUUGAACAAAAAUGCACCUGCAAAAUAAUCAAGACCUAAAAUCAAGGCCAAGAGCCUCACGUGCCCACGAUGAAUGGGGGAGCUUUGGCCGAAGAAUCUCCGAUGCUAAAGUUAGAAUUUGAGAGAAAGUGUUUAAAGAAUUUUUGGGAGAGAAUUAGACUUAGGUUUUUGGAAAAAUGAGGGGCUAUAUAUAAGAGUGUGGCCAACCCUAUUAGGAGAAUUGGGACUCGCCACAUAUGGUUGAUUUGUGGGAUUGAUUGCAAAAUAUUAUGUAAAUAAUAUCUUGUAAUUAGUUUGGUAAUUAAUCAAUUAAUUUGCUAAUUAAUCCCAAUUUGAAAAGAAUAAUUGGAAAUUACCUUGUGGAUGAGGAUUUGAUGAGGAGAGAUGAGAGGGUUUUAAAAGAAUAUCAUUUUGACACCUGUCACCUCGAUUGAGCCUUUAUUGUCUGUUGCAUGCGCGUAAGAAUUUCGGUGUGCCUUAAGGUAAUUUUUUCUUUUUAUCCAAAGUUCAAGUGUUGCCUCCAUAUUUUUCUUAAUUAUUUUUGGCUCCACAAACCUAGACUAUGUAUUGACUGGUAAAAGAAGGAAACAUAUUGUCAGGAAGAUCAUCUUGCAUGCAUUCAUCUUUGAACUAGGAUUCUCUUCCCCUCUUGUUUUCAUUUUCUUCCAUUUUCUCUUCUCAUAUUCUUUAUUUUGUCUUUAUAUUCUAUAUAAAACAAUAUAAAAUGUUGAUGUGAUUUAAUCAUAAUCGUUCAUAUAGGAAAUGAGGGAAGGAGGAAAAAAAAGAAGGGAGAGAUAAUCCUACUCCCUUUCAUCUUCUUGGAUCUCUCUUUUUCCUGACGACAGAUUGAAUAUUUUUCUUCUUAUUGCAGCUUCCUCUUCUCGCCGCAUUCUUCAACCCUAUUCAACAGUUACCCUUGUGACGGCAUCUUCAUCUUUGGAGGGCCCUUGCAGUCACAUGUCAUUGGAAUUGAAAUAACCAGAGGAUUCAUGGUCAAUGGUGUUUGACUGGAGAGGGUGAUUGAUGGGGUGGGCAAGGGUGGUGGUGAUUGAUGUUGGGUCAAGUUUCAACUUAAUUUAACUAUAAUUAUAUUUAAAAUAAUAAUUAGUAGAUAAGUAAUUCAAGUUGGCUAAUAAAAAGAUAAAAAUUACAAAGUAGUUAAUGCUUAGAUGUGUAACCCAAAAUCGUCUGUGUAUCAUAUACUUGGAACAAUCCAACUGAUGGUCCGAAGCCCUGUUGGAAUUUUGAUAAAGUAUCUCUCAAAUCUUCCAUUAUCUAAAGAAAAGACGCCGAUGUCAGGAUAUGUAAAUAAUUCUUGAACUACUGAAUGAGUUGAAUUAUCAGCAAAGUAAAUGCAAUUGCUGUUUAACUCUCUAAAAUCACUCGCCCGAAGAGAGAAGGAAGAACAGUCAGUCAAAAAUAAUACUUGGCCAUCCAAACUUUGUACAACAAGAAAUUUGCUACUCUCAGUGUCAAUUUUGAAUACUCGAAAGCAACUUACCCUAUAAUAUCUGGGAUUCUCAUCUUCGUCAUCAAUGUCAGAUUCAUUGUCGCUGGAAUAUACGACAUUCUCAUCUUCACUAUCAAUGUCAGAUUCAUUGUCGCUAGAAUAUAUGGCAUUCUCUUCUUCGUAUCAAUGUCAGAUUCAUUGUCGCUGGAAUAUAUGGUAUUCUCCUCUUCAGUAUCAAUGUCAAAUUCAUUGUCGCUGAAAUAUUAAUUUGCCAUUCUCCUCUUCUUCCUCCUCAUCAUCCUGGUCAUCUUGAUAAUUAUCAUCAAAGUUCUGUUCCACCUGAUCAUAACCAUCCUCAUUGUCCGCGUUUCUUGGAGCUUGAAAAAUAUGAUGCCAUUUAUGGAUUAACAGGACUUCAUUGUUGGUUGAUUCCAAUAAGGACUUCCAUGCGCCAUUGUACGUCACUGUGUAGCACUCGUGAUGAUAAAUGUCUGGUUCAAUCGGUUCGAUAUUAUCAUAUAUCAACAUCAAUUCCACUGCAUGAUCAUCUCCAAAUUGUAAGCUGUGAGCUACAAUAAGCUCAUUCUUAGUUUCACUAGUCACCAAAGAGUAUAGCUUUCCUGUACUGGAAAACAAUAACUGGUCAUGACCCUCAUUUUCAUCUAAUACCUCAAAGACACUCCAUGUUUUGUCCCCAGGUCUACAUAAACCCAAUACAUUAUGCGAAUCAAAAAUUGCCGCCACCAUGCAUCCUGGAUGAUCGACAUCUGAGGUAGAUAACUGAUAACAGUAUAUAAAGCAAGCAUAACAGCUUGUGAUCGUGUGUUGUAAUAGUGACAAGUGUAGUCAUCUUGUAAUCAUUGUGAUAGCUUAGAAAGUAAGCAAUCUAGUUAGCUAUAUACUAUAUAACUAUCAUUGUAAGAAGAUGAAAAGAGUUAAUGUGAAAAACAAAUAUCUUCUCUGUCUAAAAUUCUAUUUCUCUCUCUGAAUAUUCAUUUCUUCUUCUGCAAGAAUACAUCUCCUCUAUACCUGUCGAUAUCUUUACAUGGUAUCAUUCGCCGGAAAAGCUUCAUGCUUCACGGUUUCUUGAUCUUGGUUCUUCUGCUUCCGCUCUGUUUCUUCUAUUUCUUGAUUUUUUAGGGUUCUCAUUUCCCUUUUCUUCUCUGGUUCUCGGUGUUUACGAUACUGCACACCAGGUGUUUGUUCUUUUGUCUCAGUGACAUUUUCUUCGAGUUCUUGAUUCCUAUUCGAUCAUGGUGACUGCUACACAAUUGCAGAUUCUUCAAUCUCCCAUUACCUCUCUCAUCUCAUCAGUUUCAUCUUCUGUUUCUGUGAAACUUGAUGAUUCAAAUUACCUCACAUGGCAUUUUCAGAUGGAGCUUCUUCUCGAUGGUCAUGGCAUUAUGGGGUUUGUCGAUGGUACAAAUCCUUGUCCUUCGAAUCUGAGUGAUUCAACUGAGUCUUCCAGUGAUUUGCAUACCAGUGAUGCUUUCAAGAUUUGGAAAAUGCAUGAUCGGGCUCUCAUGCAACUCAUCACUGCCACAUUAUCUCCUUCUGCGAUUUCGUGUGCUAUCGGUAGCACGAGUGCUCGGGACUUAUGGGUGCGUCUUAAAGAACAAUUUUCAAUUGUUACUCGGGCUACAAUUUUUCAGAUGAAAUCUGAGUUGCAGAAUAUUAAGAAAGGUACAGAUUCCAUUUCCUUAUACCUUCAACGCAUUAAAGAAGCUCGUGAUUACUUGGCUGCUGCUGGGGUUAUGUUUGCUGAUGAUGAUAUUGUGAUUUUAACUCUUAAUGGUCUGUCUUCCGAAUACAAUACAUUGCGAUCCAUUAUUAGAGGUCGGGAGAAUGUUAUUUCUAUGAAGGAUCUUCGCUCCCAAUUGCUUGCUGAAGAAGCAAUGCUUGCUAAUGUUUCUGUUACUCCUUUCCUGUCUGCAAUGGUAGCUAGCAAUAUGUCUGUUUCGUCUAAGUCUUCUCAAUUCGAGGCCAAUUCACCUCAUGAUAAUUACUCCAACACUGGUCCUUCAUUAAAUGGUGGUUCGUAUGGGUCUCAAGGAAGUUUUUAUCAAUACAAUGGGUCUGGUUCCAAGCCUCCUUACCACAGGAACAAGGGUAAAGGCAAGUAUCAAUACAACUCCCGGUUUGGUAAUGCCAAGUCUGGUUCUUUUCAUAACAAUGCCCCUGGUAUUCUUGGUUCCUCUCCACCAACGGCACAAGGGUUUUUUCAGUCUUCUUGUCAAAUUUGUGGCAAAUUUGGACAUCUAGCUGUUACUUGUCGGUUUCGAAAUACUGAGAAUUCUAUUACAGAGGCUUGUCAAAUCUGUGGGAAAAAGAAUCACAGUGCUCCUUUCUGUCAUUUUCGAAAUGCCAAUCUCCAAGCUCAGCAAGUGUCAGCUAUGCAUGUUGCUGGUCCAUCCUCUGUUCCGAGUGCUAAUUCUCAACAAGUGUGGCUUACAGAUUCUGGGGCUACAUCUCACAUGACUGCUGAUCUUAAUCAGUUGUCGUUGGCCUCUCCAUUUCCUUCCAAUGAGACAAUUCAAACUGCUGGAGGUGGUGCAGGUUUAUCAAUUUCCCACAUUGGUUCCUCAACUUUACAUACACCUUUCAAACCCCUGCAUCUUAAUUCAGUCUUAUAUGUUCCUCAACUCUCUCAGAAUUUGUUAUCUGUGCAUAAAUUGUGUCUGGAUAAUAACUGCUGGUUAAUCUAUGAUGCUUUCUGUUUUUGGAUCCAGGACAAAGCCACAGGGAGGAUCCUCUUCAAGGGACAUUGCAGUAAUGGACUGUAUCCUAUUCCUCUACCAGUUUCAUACCGUUCUUCCUUACCCAACGUACACGCUGCUUUCCUUGGACAACAUGUGUCUUCGAGUCUUUGGCAUAGUAGAUUAGGACACCCAUCCAAUUCUAUAGUAUCUGCCAUAUUACGCAAAUGCAAUGUAUCUGAUAUAUCUGAUAGUAAGUCUGUGAUGUGUCACUCUUGUCUAGAAGGGAAAUUUUGUAAAUUGCCAUUUGUGGAUUCUGUCUCUAAGUCCCUGCAUCCUUUUGAUACUAUUCAUAGUGAUGUAUGGGGUCCUUCUCCUUGUAACUUUGUAGAGGGUUUUAGAUACUAUGUGACAUUCAUUGAUGAAUGCACUAGACAUUGUUGGAUAUUUCCUCUCAUCAAUAAAAGUGAUGUUUGUUCAACUUUCAUUGCCUUUUACAAUUUUGUGUUCAAUCACUUUGCUAUUUCUGUUAAAACUUUACAAAGUGAUGGGGGAGGUGAAUAUAUUAGCAAGUCAUUUCAACAAUUUCUUGCAUCCAAAGGUAUUAAACACCAAUUGUCCUGUCCAUACACCCCUGAACAAAAUGGUCUAGCUGAAAGGAAGCAUAGACAUAUUGUUGACACAGCUAUAACCCUUUUACAAACUGCUUCCUUGCCUUCAAAAUUCUGGUCUUUUGCAUGCCAAGUUGCUAUCUAUCUUAUUAACAGAAUGCCAACACCUGUUUUACACAACAAAUCUCCAUUUGAGUUGUUGUUUAAAGAUGUCCCAGCUAUCAAUCAUCUUCGGGUUUUUGGAUGUUCCUGUUUCCCACUCUUAAAACCUUACAAUUCCAACAAGUUACAGCCUAAAACAACAAAAUGUGUCUUUUUAGGUUAUGCCUCCAGAUACAAAGGCUACUUAUGUUAUGAAGUGAGACAUCAAAAAAUGUACAUAUCUAGGCAUGUUAUUUUUGAUGAGGGUGAAUUUCCUUAUGCCAUGUUGUCUUCCAAAACCUUAACUUCAUCAUCCUUUACUCCUCUUUUGUCACCUUCUAUUUCUCUGCCUUCUGUCACACAUGAUAACCAGGUUGUCUCCAUAGCAUCUACAUCUACUUCACCUACACUUGAGUCCAUUUCUACCCCAACACAUGCUGAAUCCAUUACUGCACCGUCCAUACAGUCUGUGCUUCCUUCUUCCCCUGUGGCUGCAGUCCUGUCCUCUGGAUCCAAUCCUCAUGAUCAUACUGAGAUUUCUUCAGAGUUUCAACCUGAGAGUUUGCAAGUGGUUUCUUCUAUUCCACCUAUGAAUACACAUGCCAUGCAGACAAGAUCCAAAAAUGGUAUCUUCAAGCCUAAAGCUUUUCUCUCUAAAAUUGAAGCUGAUAUUCCAAUUGAUUUAACUCAGGUGGAACCCUCAACAUAUAAGUCUGCUCUUUCAUCCUCAGUAUGGUGUGCAGCUAUGAAAGAAGAGCUCUCUGCUUUGCAUUCUCAAGGAACUUGGUCAUUAGUUCCUCUUCCUUCAAACAAGAAUUUGGUUGGGUGUAAGUGGGUCUUCAAGAUUAAAAGAGAUGCAGAUGGGAACAUUUCUAGAUAUAAGGCACGCCUUGUUGCCAAAGGCUUCAAUCAAGAAGAGGGUCUUGACUAUGGGGAGACCUUUAGUCCAGUUGUUAAACCUACAACUGUGAGGUUAGUUUUGGCUUUAGCUGCACAAUUUGGUUGGUCUUUACGGCAACUCGAUGUGAAGAAUGCUUUUCUUCAUGGUAUUUUACAAGAAGAGGUCUAUAUGUCUCAACCUCCGGGUUUUGUUGACUCUCACCAGUCCUCUCAUGUUUGUCGGUUACAUAAGUCUCUAUAUGGCUUAAAACAAGCCCCACGGGCUUGGAAUGAGAGGUUUACCAACUUUUUGCCUUCUUUGGGUUUUCUUACAACAUUUUCAGACUCCUCAUUAUUUGUGAAACAUGUUGGCAACUCUGUGGUCAUUCUCUUGCUCUAUGUGGAUGAUAUAAUUAUCACAGGAAGUGCUACUGCAGCUAUUACUGAUGUUAUCCAGGCUUUAGCUCAGGAAUUUGAUAUUAAGGAUUUGGGACUCCUUCAUUACUUCUUAGGCAUCCAAAUUACUUAUCAUUCCACUGGAUUAUUUCUCUCCCAGGCUAAGUAUAUUACUGAUUUGCUUCAUAAGACUGAUAUGAGUAUUUCCAAACCGUGUCAUACCCCUUGUCUGCCGUAUACCAGGUUACUUAAAGAUGAUGGGACACCCUUUCACAAUCCAGCAUUGUAUCGCAGUGUGGUGGGGGCUUUGCAAUAUCUUACAUUUACAAGACCCGACAUUGCUUUCUCCGUGCAUCAGGUAUGUCAGUUCAUGCAUUGUCCCAUGGAGUCUCAUUUUCUUGCUGUGAAGAGAAUCCUCAGAUAUCUGAAAGGCACGAUGGAUUAUGGUGUUCACUUCAGCAAAGGAGAUUUAUGUUUACAUGCCUUCAGUGAUGCUGACUGGGCUGGGGAUCCCAAUGACUGACGGUCAACUACAGGUUUGGUGGUCUAUUUGGGGUCUAGUCCCAUUUCUUGGUCUUCCAAGAAACAAAAUACAGUUUCUAAAUCCUCCACUGAAGCUGAAUACCGAGCACUUUCAUCCACUACUGCAGAGAUUGACUGGAUCAAGCAACUUUUGCAGUUUCUUCGGAUUGAUGUUUCAUGUCCUGUCACUUUAUUUUGUGACAAUCUGUCUGCUAUAGCCUUGGCUUAUAAUCCAGUUAUGCACCAAAGGACAAAGCACAUUGAGGUAGACAUCCAUUUUGUUCGAGAACGGGUUGCCAAGAAGCUGCUUCAACUUCAAUUUGUUUCUUCAAAUGAACAAUUUGCCGAUAUUCUCACCAAGGGAUUGUCUACUCCAUUGUUUCAGACCCACUGUUCCAAUCUCAGGUUGAGCAAACCUCCUCCUGUGAUUGAGGGGGGAUGAUAACAGUAUAUAAAGCAAGCAUAACAGCUUGUGAUCGUGUGGUUGUAAUAGUGACAAGUGUAGUCAUCUUGUAAUCAUUGUGAUAGCUUAGAAAGUAAGCAAUCUAGUUAGCUAUAUACUAUAACUAUCAUUGUAAGAAGAUGAAAAGAGUUAAUGUGAAAAACAAAUAUCUUCUCUGUCUAAAAUUCUAUUUCUCUCUCUGAAUAUUCAUUUCUUCUUCUGCAAGAAUACAUCUCCUCUAUACCUGAGGUAGAUAACAAGUAUGAAUGAAGAGACUGGAGGCACCAUGAAGUUUCCAUUCUUUUGUUUCUACAAAAUUUUGGAAAGAUGGAAUUGUUGUCAAGGAUGGAAGUUGGCGUUGGGCUCCCGAAAUAGGGUUGAAUAGAAACAUAUCUUUUUCCUUUUCUUUGACCAUAAAUAACCACCCUUUACUAGAACCAAAUAACUUCCCUCUUUGAAUUGGCUCUGGCACCCUCAACUUGUGAAAUUUGCCACCAUCGAAAGGGCUGAGAAACCUCAUGCGGUCGUCACAGAUUCGAGGGAGUAAUAACCAGGGGAGCUCUUGAGCACCACGGACGUCUCCCCGCAUACAAACGCCCAAGACUUGCAUGAUAAGCCUAAGCGUAUUCGAUCACUUAAAUUCAGGCGCCUUACAACAAUCUCCAAGAUAUCACCAUGUGUUCUAUGCCACCUACACUACUCGACGUCUGAUGUCUUGAAGAAUUCAAGAGGUAAUAGUUUCUUGAGCUUGAAGAAAGGGAACCAGCUUCUCAAAGAGAGGUAGUCACCCAAAUUUUGAUAAACCGAAAAUAGAUCACUCAUCUCUCUCUUUAAUUAUAUGCAGAAAAGAUUAAAGAAAGAUAAAUGGUCGAUAUUCAAUUCUUGGAUGUCAAUGCUCUAUUUAUAGGACUGCAGCUUAUAGUUAUUCAUAUCCGUGUUUACAGUGUUUUAUUCUUCUCUCUUAAUUUUAACAAAUUUCCUAGUCCUAGUCGCAGCUAUGGAACCGGACGUAAAGACCCUUAAGAUUGACGAUGUUGUGACCCUCUCUUCAGACAACUUCCGCCCCUUUUACAGAACACCACAGUUGAAACACCUUUCCAAGGUCAUUGCUGGAACCGCCCGCGUAGGAGAAGUUGCGACGAUAAGAUCAGAUUAGUUUUUGGGCUCCUUCGCCUCCAAGAGUCCAUCUCCAGUUGCUGGCAUUUGUUUCUUUUUUUUUUUUUAUCGAACAACAAUAUUUUACACUAAUAAAGAGAUAAUUGGACCAGUCCCUAAAUUUUAGUCUAAUUGGAGUUUUAGUGCUUGAGUUAUAAACAUGUGAGUGAUAGUACCUGAACUUAUUACAAUAUAAAACACUAGUCAUUUUGGGAAAUGUAAUUAGAACUUCCUUUUUUUUGUACCCCUUUAAAACUCUUAUUUUGGAUGGAACUUUCAAUAGCUACUCAAAAUGACUAUUACUCCACAUUGUGAGUAAUUUAGAGACUAAUACUCAUGAAUUAGUUCAUGAACCAAAACUCCAAUGUUAAAGAUCAACACCAGCUCAUUAAGAUCAAUCGGUACAAAAGAACUAGAUUGUUCUGGUUUAAAUAUGCAUGUAAGGUGGCUGUGCAUGCAUUGAAAAUGCUAGACAAUUCUAGCACCAAAGUAUAACUAGAAGGUUAGUAAAAUGUGAAGCGCAUGUCGGUGGGCUGUUUGUGUAAAGAACUAGAAAUCUAGAAAAAUGUUUUUGUUUGUAGAAAAGUCUAGAACAGCUUAUUGCUAGUUGCUAGGAUGAAACGGGCCAAGAGAGAGUAACUAAGAAGAGAAACUAAAAACUAAGAAGGAAGAAAGCAACUAAGUAAGAAAGUAAGAGUAGCAACCAAGAGAGAGUAGCAAGUAGGCAAGCAAACCAAGUGAGAGUGAGAAACACGAGUAGUUUUGUGUGAUGUGAGUGAUUUAGAGUUUGUCUCUAGAAAGUGAGAGAGUGUCAUAGCUUCUAAAUUGUGUCUUUAAGAAUUGUUGUAUUGUAAUAUUUUGUAAGUGUAAUACAAGUAAUUUGUUUACUUAUUGUCUUUUCAACACUUGUGCUAGAGUUGUGUACUCUAAUUUUCCUCAACAUCCAAUUGAGCCGAAGAACAUUGCUUCAAUUUUCUCAUAAAUAAAAUAUGAACACAGAUAUUAAACUUGCUCAUUUUCUUCCUCAUAGAAAAGCACAUUUUCUCCCUCAUAGAAAAGCACAUUUUCUCUUUUAUGAUUGAAUGUUCUUUAUUCCCAUGCAUUUUCCACUCCGCCUCUCAUGCAAUUAAUACCUAUAUAUAUAUAUAGGCCCUUUAUGCAAAGGGAUUCCCAUUUUUUUCAAAAAAUGGGGAUUAGGUGUGAGGCUCACUCCACAUCGAACUUCAACAAUCCGAACGUCUAUUUUGUAAGUCUCGGUUCAUAGAUCAUUCUUGCAAAAAUUCAAUUCAAUCCGAAACCAUUUGCCUAUUUAAUUAUCAAGAUAAAAUUUCAUUGUUUCUUAUAUAACAAAGUAUUCGUUCAUUUCUUUGAACUCAAUUAGAUAUCUUAAACAUUUCCGAUUUGGCUAAUAUUUUGUAAGGAUGAUCUAUGAGAUGCAACUUGAAAAAUAGACGGUUCGGAUCGUUAAAGUUCGAUGUAAUGUGAACCCCACAACUAAUCCCCAUUUUUAUAAAAAAAAAUGGAGAUCCCUUUCCUUAAAGAUUUCCUAUAUAUAUAUAUAUGUAUGUAUGUAUGUAUGUAUUCCUCCAAGAAACCAGAAUCAAAACCAUGACUGACAAUAACAGGAUUAUCAUCUUUAUUGGGCUUUUUCUUACUUGAUAUCGAUUCGCAUCGUAGAUGCCUCCGUUGUUUCAACUGGGGACUUCAACAAAGAUUUCUUUGUCACAUGGUCUCCUAGCCAUGUAAACACUUCAGCUGAUGGCAAGACAAUGAGUUUAAAGCUUGACCAAGAAUCCGGUACAUGAUCAAUAUUCAUAAACUCUCUUAAUUAAUUUUGGCUUAUAGCAUGUUGGAAUUCUGAUAAUGUUGUUUUUCGUUUCCCCUGGGCGCUGGUUUUGCUUCAAACCAGAUGUUUUUAUUUGGACAAAUUGACAUGCAGAUUAAACUAGUACCAAGCCAUUCAGCAGGCACAGUUGUGGACUAUUAAUAGUCUAUUAUAUAAGCAAAAAAAACAACAAUUUUUCUUCAAACGAACAUUUUUGCUAAUGACUGAAUAACUAAUGGAUUGUUUAUGAUCAACUUGAAAUUAAUCAAUGCAGUUGACAUCUGAUCAACCUAACCGUGACGAGGUAGACUAUGAGUUCCUAGGCAAUGUGGAAGGCAAACAAUAUGUCCUCCAAACAAACAUUUUCGCUGAUGGACUGAUAACUGCGAAGAGAGGAUCAAUCUAUGGUUUGAUCCAACAAAGGAUUUCCAUACCUAUUCCAUAUUAUGAACCUUCACCAAAUUGUGUAAGCCAUCUAUCAAAUCUGAUCAGUACUACUUCAUUUUAGAAUUGCUUUUACAUAUUUUGUUAAGUACACAAAAUAAAUUUAUGGGAAAAUUUUGGUGUACUUUUGCUGUUUGUAGUUAUAGCAGACCGGUGUAGCAUUUCCAACGUGGCAGCCAAUGAGCAUCAAAGCCAGCCUAUGGAACGGCGACAGCUGGGCAACGAGAGGUGGCCGCGACAAAAUUGAUUGGUCAAAAGGCCCCUUCACAGCUUCACUAAGAAAUCACAAGAUUGAUGCCUGUGUUUGGAAGGGAAAUGCCAGGUUUUGUAGGGCAUAGAGCCCUACAAACUGGUGGAAAGGUUUAGUACCCUGUCAAAUGCACAGAGAAGGUUGUUCAAAUGGAUUAGGAAGUACCACAUGAUUUAUAAUUGGGACACUUUGAAUGCGGUCCCUAACUAUCAAUAUUCUUUGACUGAAAUUUUGUUAGUUUUUAGUUUUUUAUUGAAAUCCCUGACAUUAAUGUAAUAAUGUAAGUUACUAUAUUUUUAAAUUAAAAAUUAAAAAUUGAAAUUUGUAAUUGUUUAUAUUAAUGAGAUUUUAAAUAAAACCCAUAAUUUGCGAAGUUAAAAAUAAAAAAAUAUAAAUUAUACUCUCUAUUAUAUUGUGUGUGUGUGUGUACAUAUAUAUAUGGGUACAUUCACCAAAAUUAACUUUAUUGUACAAAAUAUGGGUACAUUCUUCAAAAUUACAAAAGAAAAAAAAAAGAUAUCACACUUAAUAACAUUAGUAAAUUUUUUCGAUCAAACUUGAUAUGGAUACAUUUUCAAAUCAACGAAAAAGAAUGUACCCAUAUAAGUUUAAAAAUGGAUUAAAAAUGGAUUUUAUAUUGAAAAAAAUGGUACAUUUUACAUAUAACAAAUUGGUAUAUUUAAGAAUGGGUACAUUUAAUAUUAAAAAAAUUGAAAAAUUAUAUGAAGGGCUACAUUUAAGGUUCAAAAAUUGAGAAUCUUUUUAUAAAAGAAAAAACUAAUGGGUACAAACUUAAUCUAAUUUUAUAUUUUUUUAUUAUUUUGGAAAUGUUUGAAUUGAAAAUUAAUUAUGAGUUUAAUAGAGAAGUGAGUAUUAAACCCUAAAUUAAUUACUAAUUUUUAUAUUAAAAAAUUUAUGUAAUAAACAUGUAAAUUCAUUAUCACAUUAAUGUUAGGGCCUUCAAUCAAAAUUUGAAAACUAAUAAGGUGUGACAACCCGUCCCAAAUUCUACAUUUUUAUUAAUUUUAAAAGCGUGAUUUUACGAAAAUGUCCUUAGAGGCGGGAGUAUUGACUUUCGUGAACAGCGUAUAGUGAGGUGUACAAAUUAAUCCUUUAGAUUUUUCCUGAAGUACUCGACAUUACGGACUUAUAGGCGCAAGCAGAAGAGGAUUUGGGGUUACGGUUAAAGUUUUACGAAACUGUAAACUCGAGAAGUACUUUGGUUUCAGUCACUAUUUAUAUUUUUAUAUAUUUUUAUAAUGUUGAUAUUAUUUAUCAAUUAAUUAUUUUAAAGAGGAAGAGGAAGAAGAGGAAGAGAAAGAAGAGGAAGAGGAAAAACGAAAAAAAAAAAGAAAAAAGAAAGAAGAAUGGCUACUGCCCAAUCAGGAAGAAGAGUGAGGUAGGGGACCAACUAGAGAAAAAGUAAGGAGGGAAAGGAGAGAAGGUAGGGAAGGAAAAUGGCAACCAAACCCAUGUGACCCGGUUAUAAUCGGAGGAUUUCUACGGCAAAAUCCAUGGUUUUUCCGAUGAAUUGGACCAAGGUACCACUUCCAAACACUAUCUAGCCCUUCCCUCUUCCUUUUGUCAUCUCAAUUUAGAAGAAAUUGUUGUAAACGGGGGAGGAACCGUCGGUGGGUGCGACGGAUUCGUGCAAGAAAUCCCAAAAUCAUGAAGCUAUUCCCACCAAUUACCAUCACCACUAGACUCCUUAUGAGGUCUAGAUCAAAUCCCAGUCAGUUGUAGGGUGGGCGGGGUACCGGAGAUGGCGAAUCAAGAAGCACCCAAACUUAGGGUUCUGACGGGUUUUAGUAAAAUUGGGAUUUUUCUAGGCCAAAUCGGCCUUAGUCACAGGUAUGAAAGUUACUCCACUCACUGAGAUCGUCAUUUCUGCAAAAUUGGUAAUUUUUAGAAGUAGUUGAAUUUUCCGGCGAGUUGGGGCGGCCGACCGCCACCCACAACGACGCGUGCGGCGGCGUGUGACCAGUAGGCCACCAAUGUAAUUUUUAGGCUAUGUUAAAUGUCUUGAAUUCAGUUUUGAUAUUUGAAUGACGUAGGUUGAUUGCUGGAACCUAAAUUCUCUACAAUACGUUAUUAGGUAUUCAGGUGAAUCGACAAUCCGACCGUUGGAUCGUCACCAAACUUUGUUACAUUGUAGUACGUAAAAUUUGAAGAAUGUAGGAACUUACAGAUUGGGAAUCCAACGUACGGAUCUUCCCGACUUGGAUUUGUAAGUUCAUAAAAUAAAACGUUAACCACUAAUCAGUUUUGGAAAUUGGCGGAGAUCCAACCGUUGGAUCGUAAUGAAAUUUAAGUAUGUUGUUCUAGAAGUCAUGAGAAGUUACGGAUUGGAAAUCUGAGAUGCAGAUCUUCCGGAUCGAGUUUUGCAGGGUUGUGGACCCAACCGUCAAUCGAAUGUCAAUAGGUCUCAAAUUAUUCUAGAAGGUCCUUAAGGAUAUGUUUUAUGUAAAUUAUGUAUUCUAUCGGUAAGAACUUUGAGACGUGAUUUGACAAUUGGUCAUAGGCGAUGAUAGUUCGUGAUGUCUCCAUAUUUGUGCGAGGGACUCGUAGUGCGGACCUAAGGCGUAGGUAUUUUCCCUUCUAUUAUAUAUAUAUAUAUAUAAGCUUGAUAUCUCCACAAACGUUUAUAAAUUAAAUAUUCAUAUAAUUUCUGUGAAUGCUUUGGAAGACUAAUGCGAACUACGAAUGGCUUAAUCCCUGUUUAGGGUACAUAGGCAGUCUAAAGAGACGUUAGAUGUAGCCAUAUAAUAAAUGGGACUAAAUAAUUGAGACAAUAGCCUUGUUUGGGGAAUUGAACAAUGCAAAGGAUAUUAGUGAAAAAUGUGAGAUCUAACCUUGCGAGUUGGUGGAUAAAUGUUGGUCAUAAAUCAAUAUGUGAGGAAUCAAGGAAUUGAAGUAAGGAAACGUAAGUAAUGAUGGUUGAUUACAUUAGGUUUUAGAUGAGCUUAUGACCGAUGACUAUUUCCUAAAAUAAAUAUGUCGGGAGUAGGGUGUUAUAGUUCAUGCAUUUUUACGCCACAUUAUAUAUAUAUAUAUAUAUAUUGGAAAAAUACUAUGAUAUGGUUGAGUUUUAGAUUUGUAUUAUGGCAUAUCCAUGUGUAUACUACUUGCACAAAAUUAUUAUGAAUGUUUGAAGUGCAAAGAUGAAUGCGGAACACACAGGUAAGUUCAGGUGAGUUAUGGUAUUAGUUGAAAGGAUUGAGUUAUGGCAUAAUCACAGUAUGUUUUAGGCAACUCCAACAUUAUCGUACAAGUUGCCUAUGAGUUGUAUAUAUCACAUGAGAUGCAUUUAAAGCUCAUAAACUUGCACCCCCAUGUUAGUGCUCCCGCCCGUGACCAGGACAUAGUCAUUCACGUGAUGUUCACCUCCCGCACCUUAAACUCACCUUGGAUCCAAGGUAGGUGCAGAGUCCUGUCGUACAGACCACUAUAGUUGGUUCCGACUCGUAGGUGACCCACGAUUAUUCGCACAGUCUUCACAUGAUUGUAGCACUUGAGCGUAUUUAUUUACACCCAGUCUUGUCGUACAUACCACUUUAGGUGGUUCUGACUUGUGUGCAAGUAUACUUAUUGAGCUAUGGAUAAGUCAUACAAGUCAUUAGAGGUGACUCCGACUUAUGAGCUAGCAUAUACGAUGAGUAUGUGAUGAGCUAGCAUAUGUGAUGAAAUAUGUGAUGAGCUAGCAUAUGCAAUGAGAUAUGUGAUGAGCUAGCAUAUAUGAUGAAAUAUAUGAUGAGCUAGCAUAUAUGAUGAAAUAUGUGAUGAGCUAGCAUAUAUAUAAUGAGAUAUGUGAUGAGCUAGCAUAUAUGAUGAAAUAUGUGAUGAGCUAGCAUAUGUGAUGAGAAAUGGAUAAGUCGUACAAGUCACGUGAGGUGACUCCGGCUAGCAUGUUGAUGAGCUGUUAAUUCAGCCGUACAGCCCACUAUAGGUGGAUCCGGCUAAUAUGCCAUUUCAUAUUGAUCUAUUUCACCUGAGUACUUAUUCUUAUUGAGAUAUUUGACAUUGUAUAAUUGUGAGACUAUUAUUUUGGUUAUGGUAUUGAUUUAUAGUCAUGCCUAUUAUUCCGGGAAAUUAUACAGGUAUUACGGUGAGGGGCUACUGUUUUUUAUAGUUGGAAUUUGUUUGAAAAGUUUUGUUUCACUCACUCACAUUUUCUAUUUUUGUACCCCUCGAGGUUCUAGCAGUAGAGUUCCGUAUCGACGAGGAUUCGUGGCACUUUUCAGUACAUAUGUUUUCUUGUGAUGGUAUGAUCAUUGUCUCAUCUUACUGCACUAUACCUAUGCUCUGUAUCACGCGUGAAAUGGGUCCAGAUCCGCUCACCGCGCACUCGUGUACUUAGGGACUUUAAGUUUUAAUGUAUUCACAUUUUAUACAUUAUCACACUUUAUGGCUUCGUCACCUUCUAGGUGUCGGGCAGCACAGCUUGAUUUGGAGUCCUAGUGGAUAUUCCGGGUCGGGGUGUGUCAUAAGGUCUUAGUCAAUGAAAAUUAGGAACUAGGGACCAGAUACUAAUUUUUCUCUUAUAAUUAUUGCCAAGAUAAGGAGAGGUUCCAAGGCAACCUUGAAAGCGUACACACACAGACACACACACACACAUAUACAUACAUACAUACAUACAUACAUACAUACAUACAUACAUACAUAUUAGAGACUUGGAAGUAAAGUAACAUUUUCUUUUGGAAUUCCCUUGCAAGAUGCCAAAAUGUUUCUUCACUUUUUGGUUAUAUUGAAUUUGAAAGAAAAGGCGAAGGAUGUAUUCAUAGGGCCUCUGACUAUAGUAGUAGAAAACCUUGUUUUUUCAUUUUAUUUUGAUUUCCAUAAAAAAAUUAAAGGGCUUUCCAAUAAUUAUUCUAAUUUAGUGGCACCAAUUUCCACUUUGAUCAUGUAGAUUGUUAGUUUAAAUAUUGCAAAUGAGAUUUUAUAUACUUCAUUAAUCAACGAGUGUCUGCUGUGCAUGAGAUUUAAACUCAAGACUUACAAUAAAGUGGAGAUUAGAUGCUACUAAAUUAACGUAUCAUAAUGAAUUUUGUUAUCUCUAAUUAGCGAUUUAAAUAUAUCAUUAAUGAUCCUUGCAUCCUGUAUUCUGCAUAAGAAGUGGUGGGUGAUCCCGCUAGACUGACAAAAUUAAAUAUGACGAUAACAGUACACAAAUUUUGUUUCAUGAAGGGUUUGUAUCUGGCCUUAUCAAGUCAGAUAUGUAACAAGUUGACUUGAUAAGAAUACAUUUCUUUCUUAAUUGGUCGGAUUCUUGAUUAUUCACGACAUUUAACACUCCAGUACACGUGUUUAUAAAUGUUGCAUAAUGCGGUAUAUUUAAAAUUUUAUAUCCUAUUAACAAAAUAAAAAAAUUAAUGAGUAAAAUUGACAAAUACCAUAAGAUUAAAUUUAUGAACAAAUUGAUCUUUUCUAGCCCAUUGUGAAGUUAAUCCUACCCCCUCCCCUUAAUUGUAGAGAAUAUUGUUUGUUAAGAGGUUGAAUUUGUGGUGGGAAUAUUUUCACCUGACACGAGUACGAUAAAACACAAAACGUCGCUGAACAAUCUUUUUCCUGAAAAAUGUGAUGACAGAACAGUGACCCAAUCAAGAAAGGCCCAUAUUUUACAAAAAAUAAAAAAAUAAAAAGGCCCAGAGUGAAUAAUGGGUCUGAAGGCCCGAGUGUUGACGAUUAAUAUCUAAAAUGAUAAGGAAACUAAUGAAAAGAAUUUGAAACUUUGAGUUUUAACGAUAAGGACAAAAUAAAAGGUAAAAUAAAUAGUAUUAGAAUUAAUUUUUUAAUGUAAAAAUAUGAUUUUUCGUUAAAAUAAAUAGUACUGUAACUUUUCGUUAUAGUUCCUAAAAUUCUAAUGCAGCAAAAUUAGAAUCAAAGAAAAUAAAAAUUGCCGUUUCGUCAAAUCUUGUCGCAGCCAAAAACCCUAAACCCUUUGAGAGCACAGACAGAGGAAGAUGGGAAAUACAAGCAAAGACCUUCUGCAAUUCGAGCACAAAAGGGCUUCAACUUCACCUUUAGGUCUCUCUCUCUCUCUCUCUCUCACGCGCGCUCGCUUUCUGUGGAAACUCAUGUAGCUUACUCUGGGUGUAUUCUCUUGCAGAAAGCACGCUACUUGUCUGUAAAAAUGCCUCAACGAAGAAAGCUCAACCCGAAGGGAAACCCGGCCCUGCUCUUCCUCUUCCCAAAAGCCAAGGUUCUCGAUUUUUUCCCAUUUAAAUUUGGGUUUUUUUUUUUUUUUUUUUUCAAUUGUGAAAACUUCAAUUUAAAGGAAUUUGAAUUGUGGGUUCUUGGUAAGAGAUUAAAUCUGAGAUCGAUUUGAUAUGAUGGGCACAUAUAUGAAUGUUUUUAUUUUCCAGCUGGUAAUUUUCUAUGUUGGUUUCUACUUGGCCGGCUAAAUAAUGUUUAAUUCUCAAAUGGGUCUAUAAUUUGGUGAUGGAUGCUUAAUUUCUUUUAUACAAGGUCUCGAUGCUAAUCAGUUAAUCAGCAUAAUGCCUGUGCUGCUUGUCUUCUUUUUACAUUUCCCCCAUUUAUAUUUUGUUUUGGAACUUGCUAAGUUACUAAGUUGUAGUGGUUUGAGUUAUAACUUAGAAGGGUGUGACUCAAGUCUCCUGUCAUUGGGCUCGUCUCAUCCUUCAUAAACCUGCGCUGAAAUUUCAUAGUUUAAUUCGACGAGAUGGGAUUAUUUUUGUGCUGUUUAUCUUUUCUUGGCCCCUGGUGUUAUUAUUUUCUUCCUCUUUUGGUUCGUUGGCAAGAAUCUUGCUUGAGAUAGAGGGUAGUAAGUACUUCAUUGUCGGCUUGAGAUUGGCUUCAAAUCUCUGUUCAUGUCUAUCCACUACAAUCAAUUACAUACCUUACCUUGGAAUUCUGUUUCUCAUACAUUGUUUCCGUAUUCAUAUUUUUCCGGUUCAGUAGAGAAUUUCUACCUUUACAUGUCAAUUAGUUUUUCGUUCUCUCUUUCAUUAGAGAACUUGCUUUACUUAGUUCUAGCUGAAUUUUCUCAAAUGUUUAGUAGUCAAUGUGAUGCUUUAUACGCUAGCUGAUGAUUGUGUAUGUCGUGAAGGGGUCAUAACAAUGGUUUAGCGUUGAGAAAAAUCAAAUGUGUGGCAUGUGUGGCAUGAUCUCAGGUUAGAGGAUUUCUGCAAUUGGGCAAGCCUAUGCCCCAAGUAUUUAGUUGUUUUAGGCAACUGAAGUCUUCAUUGAUGAUCAGGAAUGGUGACGAUAGAAAUUUGAAAUAGAUUAGAGAAUGUUGUAGUAUCAAAUCUGAGGCUGAAGAGACGGAUGUUCUAAACUGUUUUGCCUUGCCCCCUUUUUUUUUUUAGCUCAAACAGAAGUUUUCAAUUUAUCAUGUACUUGAGAUUCUCUGCUUCUGUUUUAUUUGUAGUGUUGUUUUGUUAGAAGUGCCUUGCAAAAUUUUGUUCACAGUAUUUGCUUGCUUGGGCUGUGCAGUUUUGGGACUAGUAAGGGACUUCUUGGGAGUCAUAUCAGAAGCUAACGAACGACUAAAGCAGGAUGCAAAGGUUGGCAUAUUGAUCUUGCAACCAAAUCUAGAUUGUUUAUCCCGAUUCUAACAUCCUUUAAAACACCUAACCUGUGUUUUCUCAUUUACUGAUAUGUAGGAUAAUCCAGAAAACUACGAUAUUGAAGUGCUCACUGGAAAUGAAUCUCAAGUCGUUAAUAUGGUCCCUAUCUCUCUUUCGCUCUUGCUCUUGCGUAUGCACACACAUACACAUACACGCUCACAGAUUAUUGAUCCCCUUGGAUAAUAACUGAUUUGUGGGUGGAUCUGAAUUGACAGGAGUUGAUGCUGGGCGUUGCUGAUCUUCAAACUCCUGAGGCUGUGGCUGCUGCUGAAUCUGCAAUUGUUGGUUGUCAGCCUGUUAUACCAUUGGCCAUCAACAGUAGCGGAGAGGAAUCAGAGGAUAGCAGUGAUGGUGACAGCAGCAGCGAUGAUAGUGACGACGAAGAUGGUUCCGAUGAUAGUAGCAGCAAUGAUAAUGACGACGAAGAUAGUGAUGAAAUCAAAGAUGAUACAAUUGAUAAAGAGGAUAAGAAAACAACCUCUCAUGCAAGGCUCAAAACACGCAAGUCGGAUAAAGAUAAUUCUAUGAGUGAUGAUGCUGGUAACAAUCGGUCCCAAAAACGACCGAAAAUUGUUGAGCUCUCACGAAAGUCUUGUGAGAUCUAGUCAUAUAUAGAGUUAAUGUUUAUGGAACUAUCAAUUUAUUGUAAUAGUUGGGCAGUUCUUAAGACUUCCACACAGUGAGAAGGGCAUAUGAUGAAUGAUUCUGGGAGACUCUGGAAGAGACAACGAGUUGUAUGAAGAGUACAAAAUAUCAUUAUAUCGUUAAUGUGAUUUCGUAUGUAAUUUCACGGUUUCACCCAAAUCAUUCUAAGUACGAUGUUUGUCGAUGAAUUUUAUGAUGAAAGGUAAUUGUUCUGCAAAUUUAUCAGUUCUGCUAAGUUCUUCUGCCACUCAAACUGUAUACAGUUCGAGGUGAAUCUAUGAUUGUAACUUCUUCUAACAUCGAAUGAACAACGCUUAAAAUGUAGAAGAAAAUCCUUUGGCAACAUUGUCAUGCAUUUGGUACAUACCACAUAGAGGAAACUUAAAAUUUAAGUUACAAAGGCAAUUACAUCGACAUCUCUAGGAUGACACCACAUCGGGCCGGAGUCGGAUUUGCCCUGCCAUAUCCGGCUCCACAAAAAUUUUGCCAUCCCUAUCCCCGUCCCCAUAAACAAAGGGAUUUAGUUGUAAAUAUUUUUUUUUUGUACAAGCGAUAAUGUGGUUCAAAUUCACUUUUCACGAAAAUAGAACCUAAUACCUCUCACUUACAAGUGAAGAGGAAUACCACUAGACCGUAGUAUUAGAUAUGAAUAACAAAGAAUUCAAGCAUUAUGUAUAGAGGAAAUUAUAGUAAUGGUCCCUCAACUCUUAAUGCAAUUGGAGUAACGGUCCCUCAAUUAAAAUCCAUAACUAUUAGUUCCUUAACUCAUCAAAACAUGCAAUUGUGGUCCUUCUUGUCAAAUUGGUUAGAACUUUCGUCAAAAUGAGUUACAUGUCAUGCACGUGAGGCUGAAUCAAGAGUUAAUAUGGAAAACCAAUUGGAGAAAUAGUCCCUCAAUUUUAAUCCAAUUGGAGUAAUGGUCUCUCAACUUUAACCCAAUUGUAGCGAUGAUCCUUCCAACAUGACUUAUUUUGAUGAAAUUUUGACAGAGUUGACGAAAAAGACCAUAGCUGCACGUUUUGAUGAGUUAAGGGACCAAUGAUUAUGAAUUUUUAGUUGAGUGACUAUUGCUUCGUUUAGGUUAAAGUUGAAGGACUAUUGCUACAAUUUUAUCUUAUAUAUAUAAAAGAAAGCUUACCCCUCUAUAUUAGUCAUAUAUCUUGCUUACCUACCAACAACUACAAGACCAAGCAAUUUAAAUUAAAAAGGUACAAGACAACCAUUAUUUUAUGUCCUUUAAAAUGGGCCGGCCACACCCUAUGUCAAAUAUGUAAGGCCCUAGCCCAUCUCAUGGGCCGAGAAAAUUUAGGCCUAUCAGCGGGCCCCUAAACUCUGAUCUUUUGGCCUUUCAAUAAUUUAAAUAAAAAAUAGUAAUAAGACCUUAAGACGCAAAGUUCAGACCUUACACAUUUAAAAUAGAGAACUUUAACGAAAAACAUCCGGUACUGUUCACUUUAACGAAAAACCACAUUUUUACACUAAAAAGUCAAUCCUGAUACUAUUCACUUUACCCUUUAUUUUGUCCUUAUCAUUAAAACUCAAAGUUUUCAAGCCCUUUUUAUUAGUUUUCCUUUUAAAAUAGGGCCAGAUAAAGCUCGACCUAAGACUGGAUCGGGCCAACCCAUCGGGCCUCGGUCUUAUUUUACCGGCAUAGUUUUUUGGGAACUUUAACGAAAAGCACCCGGUACUGUUCACUUUAACGAAAAACCACAUUUUUACACUAAAAAGUCAAUCCUGGUACUAUUCACUUUACCCUUUAUUUUGUCCUUAUCAUUAAAACUCAAAAUUUUCAAGCCAUUUUCAUUAGUUUUCCUUAGUUUUUUAACCUUUAAAAAGAAAUGAAAUUACAUAAAUACCCUUGGUAACCAAAAGCAAACAGUGCACCGUCUCUUAUUUCAUCAAAAGCCUCAAAGGAUUAAUCCUUAUAUUCUUUUUUGUGGUUUGAUCAUAACUAAUUAGUAGCCAUGCAUGCAUCCAUGGAUCUGGGCUUAUUAGCUGCUAAUUAUCAUAAGAGUAAACAAAAUUCAAAGAUUUUGUGGUUUGGUCAUAAAAAAAUUGACUGUUAGAUCGUUGUAAUACAUUACGGAGGUAAGCCUCACAAAAAUAGUGUUUCAAAUAGAAGUCAAAAUCGCGUAUCCCUGAAUCUUAACCAGAAAUAUUAUAAUACACGUAUUUAUUUAAUUUUAUUAAUAGUCUCUAAAGUAUCAAAUUAUGUCAUUCUCUUAUAUUAUAACAUGUGAAUUAAUAACAUUAUAUACUCACUAAAAGCAAAUUUGAACCAUGUUAUUGCUAGUUUAUUGUGAGGUUUAGCCCACUCCUCUACCCCUUGAGUAGAAAUGAUAUCGUUUGUCAAAAAAUAACACUAUAUAUUGAUGGUACCAGGAUCACCCCAAAUAUUUGUUUUUAGAAAGGGAUAUCUAUGUGGUUAUCCACUUAACUAAACUUUGGUAUAAUUAACCGAACUCCAAUUUUUUUUUCCUAGUCCCUGUGGUGACACAGUACUUUCAAUGUGAACCUCGUGAUGAAAAAGUUUUUAAUUAAACUCUUGUGGUGGGCCUUGUUAGCAAUUGAGGUCCAAUCCUUCGUUAGUCUUCUGUUAAAUAAACUCACGUGACUAUCACAUGGAGGGUCAAUUUUGUCAUUUAAAUCCAAAUUACAUCAUAUUCCAUGAACAUCUAGUAUGAGUUAGGGUUUAACUAAAAUUAGAUUUUACCAAAAAAAAAAAAAAAAAAAAAAAGGUUGAACGCAAAGAGUGAAACUAAACCUGUAAAACCACAUCAAUGGAGAAUUUGCAAAGAAAGAAGAGAGGGAGAAGUUGCAAAGAAAGAAGAUGUUGGAGGAGCAAGGGAGGUUAAGUAACUUAAUAGAGAAUUGGGGAAGCUUUUGAGUGGGUUUCCAGUGAGGGAUGUCGAGUUUGUAUGUGAGCGAUGUUUGUUGUAGCCUAGGUUUGUGAGACAGAGAAGAUGGGAUGUUUGUGAGGGAUGUGGGGAUGCAAGGUUUGCACCAUGUCCAGAGAAAGAAGAAGGGAGAGAUAUUGAAGAGAGAGAGAAGUCAGGUGGCAUCAUUUCCUAACAGCCUUGCACUACAAACCGACGUAGCCGAAGUUUAAAAAACAAAUCGAUGCUGCCGAUUAAUCGAUCUAUAACAAUUGGUUGCCAUGACAAAAUCUUAAUUCUUCAUUCACUCAUUUGGGAUUUUAUUUUCUAUAUGGGUGCAAAAAUGAAUUUAUAUAUUGAAUCGGAUUUGUGAGAGUAGUUUAGGUAGUAAAUUUGAGUUUAAAGAGAUAUUGAAUUUUUAAUUAAAAAUAAUGUGGAUGUAAAGAGUAAGGUGUAAAAAAGGUUAUAUAGUUCAAAUAAAAUUUCCCUUAAGAUAGGCUAGUGUUUCCUGUUUGGUUUUAGACUUUUAUAAUUGGGGUUGAAAUUGCGCUAGGAUUUUGUUAAAUUAGACUAAUAUUUUACUUUGAAUUUGGAUUAAAAAAUGAAUACCCAAAAUAAAUAAAUAAAUAAUUAAAUUAAUAUACAUUUAAUUCGGUUUGGUUCAAUUUUCAAACUAUUGAAACCAAAAUCGAACAAGAAGAAUUCGGUUUGGUUUGGGUUUUUUAAUGUGGUUCCUAUUUUUGCUUCGGUUGGGUGUUUCAAUUUGGUUUUUUUUGUUUUUUUUAACCCUUUUCGGCUUCAGAUUAUUAUGGAAAAGCAUGUGGAGUGUAUUAAGAUAAUUUUUAAUUGAAAAAGUCCAAAUCUUACAGUUGCCAAGUCCAAAUCUUAUAGAUGACAAGUUAAAAUCUAACUCCACCAAGAUUGUUGAUUUGUUUAAAAUAUUGUUAUUAAAAAAUUCUUUUGGACAACCAAUCUAGUUGAUUAAGACAAGAUUUAAAAUCUGAUACUCUGAAGCACUAUACAAUUCUUUUUAUAAAAGAUAUAAAUUGAAGGUGGAGGAAUAAAUUGGUUAUAAACAUAUCAUUUACAAGAUUUAAACUUGCCUCUAUUACAUUAUUUAACCAUAAAACAUGUAGAGAAACACCAAAACUUGGCCUAAAUUGUCCCCGCGUGCGCAAGUAAGUGUGAAAUCCUGCAAUUGAGUUUCAUUAUUCAAUUUUCGCGUUUCAUAUUUACAUGAUUUUAUUUUAGUUUCUUUAAAUUGGAUCUUUGGUUGGUAAGUUAAAGUUUGAUUUUAUGUAGUUAGCCAAUAAAAAUCUGUAACUUUUAGGGGGUCACUUUUGGACUUGUUGGAUAAAGCUCGAUCUCAUGAGCGUGAAGGCGAAAAACCGUUUGCAAAAUGAAGUUUUAACGAAGAAGAUAUAAGAUCGUCUAUCAUAAAAAACCCGACCGAUUUGGAACAGGGCUUAUUAUUUUUAGAAGAGUAAACUGUCGGUUUAUCCCCUGAACUUUCACCUCACUUUCGAUUUCCCCCCUGAACUUUUCCAUUGGAAAAUUAAGGACUCAAACUAAUUUUUUUAGCCAAUUUGCCCCCUACCGUUAGUUUUUCAUAUAUUCCAUCCAUAUUUCCGUUAAGUGAGACCAUGUGCACAACAUGUGAGGGUAGUUAAGUUAUUUCACUCUUAAAAAUGAUUAAAAAACUGAAAAUAAUAAAAAAAGCAAAACUUUCCCUCUAUUUUUUCCCGCUAAUUCCUAUCCUCGAUUUUAUUUUUCCCUCUCAUUCCUAUGCAUGAGAAAUGACAUAUGGUGUUAUUGUCUACCAUUUUUAUUUUCUCUAACAAAUUAAUAAUUUGACAAAUGCUAAUGGUGCUAUUGUCUCCAAAGCAGUGCAUUAAUAUAAGAAACCCUAGUCUUUUUUAUGGACAUGUUUCUUAUAUUAAUGCAUUGCUUUGGAGACAAUAACACCAUUAGCAUUUGCCAAAUUAUUAAUUUGUUAGAGAAAAUAAAAAUGGUAGUACAUGCUUCAAAAAAAAGAUUAACUUAGCUACUUAUGAAGACAAUAACACCAUAUGUUAUUUCUCAUGCAUAGGAAUGAGAGGGAAAAUUAAAAUUGAGGAUAGGAAUUAGCGGGAUAAAAUAGAGGGAAAAUUAUUAUUAUUAUUUAUUUUCAGUUUUUAAUCAUUUUUAAAUUGAAAUGACUUAACUAUCCUCACAUAUUAUGCACAUGGUCUCACUUAACGGAAAUAUGGAUGGAAUAUGAAAAACUAACGGUAGGGGGCAAAUUGGCUAAAAAAAUUAGUUUGAGUCCUUAAUUUUCCAAUAGAAAAGUUCAGGGGGGAAAUCGAAAGUGAGGUGAAAGUUCAGGGGGUAAACCGACAGUUUACCCUUUUUAGAAACCCAGCUAGUGAGUUAACCCGUUGACUAGGUUUCACUGCCCCAAUUCGCUAGGCAAAAUUUCAACACGUUUUCGACGUGAUGUGACAGUUUCAGCAACGCCAUCACUUGGGUAUUCCCUUCAACACCACAAACAAAAGCCACCAAACUUCACCAUGAUCGACUAUCAAGCUUGAAAAUUCUGAGUUUUGGUGGUUUGCGAUCUAGCCCUUUCUAUUGUAAAUGUCGGCGACCACCACCAUUAUCGAGAAGCCUUCGACAUCUAGAGAAAAGCCCUAGCUUUGGAUUGGAUGUUAGUGCAGCAGUGGCGCAAUGAGGUUCCUGACUACCCAUGGCUUUUUCGACUAAUUUUGCCUUUUUUCAUCCCAACCAACCUCCAACAAAGGUAUAAAACUUACUCCCCUUGUUGUAAGCUACGUUUUGGAAUUGACUGGAUUCUGGCAAAGGUUGGUUGGCGCACCGUCGUGUAUGGCGUGCGUGGCAUGAUGACCUAGUUUGUCUCCGUAAGCUAAAUUUGAUGUCCUGAACCCUUUUCCAAUGUUCGUUUGACAAGAUUUGAUCAUUUGAACAUAAUUCAAUAAUUGACUGCCACUUGACCUUUGUUGUAGGUGUUGAUCCGACAGUUGGAUCAUUAUGGAACUAUAGUAUAUGUUGUUGUUGAAGUAAUGUACUGAUGCUCUAAAGAACUUAUAGAUCUGAAAUCUAAGGUGCGGAUCCAUCAUAUUGGAAUAUUUAUGUUAUUGACCUUAGCAUGAACCAUUUUGAUCGGAGGUUAACUUUUGGUCAACAUGUCCCUAAUCAUUCUAGAAUAUUGAAGUUAGCAUUAUUAGAUAGCUGAUAUAGCCUAGUGGGCCUACCUUGGUUUGUGUGCCAUCCUGGGUGAUGUGCAUCUUAGGUGCAAGUGGCACCUUACCUUCAUUUAAGUGUUUGUUGGGUUUCUCGAUGAAUGUAUUCUAUAAAUAAUAAGCUAAAUAAUGUUUGUAUACUUCGAUAAGUUUUGACUGACUUCUGGGCCUUAAGUUGGCGUGCUUUCGAGAUUGCCUUUGCAUUGGACAUGAGGUGAGUAGUUUGUUUACUGUCUUUAUAUAGAAUACCAAAAUGCGUAUAUGCCUCAAUGUAUGUCCUAUUGAAGUUAGCAUUGCUAUGUAAUAUGACAUAGAGAUAAAGAUACUGGUAAUUAGAAUUUUUAAUAUAACUAGUAAUUAAGGGAAUCCUUUGUGAUGUUCUUUGUAUGACGAGAUGCUUGGUUGACAUGUUGAACCGAUAGUGGAUGUGAUUAUUAUGUAAAUCAUGUUGGGUUGAUGUAUGGUGUAUGACGAGUGAUAAUGUGACUGCAUCAUGUAGCAGUAUGGUGCAUGGAUGGUCCUACUUGGUUAAUUCGCAUUGGGGGACCAUGCAAUUAUAAGCAUGCCUAUGGUUUUGCUUGGUUAAUUUGCAUUGGGAAACCAUAAGCAUCUAAAAGUGAUCAUCCUUGGUAAAUCGGCAAUUGGUGACCACUUCCAAGUUAGAUUCCAUUGAAUUGGUCUGGAAUAUUACUUCAUAUAUGGUUUUUUUUUAUUUGGUCUGAAAACCCUAUAUUCUGUUAUAGAGUUGAAACUUAUCGUGCAACCAGAUAUAAAGUAAGAUCUAAACCUUAUAACAAUUCCUUUCGAAUUACUUUCUUGUAAUCCGAUAAUAAAGGCAAUCGACGGUACAAAGAUUUCCAGACCAAUUCAAUGGAAUCCAAGGUUUGCAGACCAACUCUGUUAUAGAGUUCCAGCCCUUGUGAAACCAGACCUGGAUUUUUUUUCCUUCCUCCCCAUUUAUUUAUCAGUUAUAAAGUUGAAACUUAUGGUAAAGUGGUGCAGUGAGGGUCACAGUAUCAACGGACAACUCUUUGCGGAGCAAAAAUUGACCGCAAAUCCAAUAAUUUUCUAUUGAAAGAAGAGUCCUUUUGAAUUUUGAUUUCCUGUAAUUAUGGCCUUCCCAUGUUAAAGUCUAAUGUAAAAAAAAUCUGAAUAAGAUGACUUCACAAUGUUAUAAAUAUUAUACGGUCUAGUGGUAUUCAUUUUCAUUUGUAAGUGAGAGGUUUUAAGUUUGAUUUUCAUCAAAGGUGAAUUUGAACUACAUUAUUGCUAGUCCACUAUGAGGCUAAGCCUUCACUCUCUCCGUUAGUGUAGAUAAUAUCGUUUGUUCCAAAAAUAAAAAAGACGCUACAUAUUUUUUUCCUGAAAAAAAUGUCUUAACUAUUUAAAAUUGGAUAAUUUACCUUUAAAGUGUAUCACAUAAAAGUUUUUGAAGUGUAAAUUGUUUCUGGUUAUUUAAUUUAAGUUGCAAUGGUCUACUUAAGUCAAUAGAUUCAAAUGUAGGGGUCUCGAUUCAAUCCAUCUAUGUGACUUUAGGUUGUAGCCAAGUGUCAUGCCAUUAUUGAUGACCGUGUGUAUGGCUUAGAUUGGAUUUAGCGCAAAGGUGUAAGAGAAUGUUUUGCUAAUUUGCGCUCUGCAAUGAAUUGAGCUGCACCUUUCCUUACACAGAAAUAUACAAAACGUUCUUCGUUCUUUGAGUUUUUCUUCAGUCUUAUUUCCCAAUCCGUAACUUAAAAAAACAACAUCAAAUACUAAAAACCAACACAAGUCACGUAAUUUAAAUUGAAAUAAAACUAAAUAGCUUACAAUCUAGUAGAAGGGAAGAAUUUGGAGGUUUUAAUGAACUUAAGGACAUUUGUUUGAAAAAAUAUCAUUAAGGAACUUAAUUUUUUAAAUGGUAGGAUUAUGAGAGAUAUGUUGAAAAGUGUGUAAUUAAGGAAAUGAACUCAAAUAAAAACUAAAAAUUAUUUUUAACUUGUAUUUAUUUUGAAGAUUUUGUUUUUGUUCAUUUUUCUUUGUUUCCUUCAUUCCCUUCCACCAGUAUUCUUCAUCCCUCAUUUUCGCCUCCACUCUUCUUCAUCCCACAUUUCCUCCAAAUAAUUUCUCCAUAACUCAAACACAUAAAAAUGAAAACUAAAAAUAGAAAACAUUUUGAUUAUCUCACAAAUAUGAUCUCACAUUUACACCGUAUAAUUUCCCUUUAUAUUUAUGGAAUAAUUAUUAGCACUUAAAAGUCAUUAUGCACUCUUUAAAUAUAUAGAUUUGACAAACCUGCGUUAUAUCUAUCAAAGACAAGGAGCAAGAAAUAAUUGCUUGGUCAAAAGCCAGUAAUUUCUUUCUAAUUAAUAUGUGUAGUAGAUUACCAAGAGAAAUUUACCACAAACAUUCAUCGUUUCAGCAAAAUAAUGUAAAUUAGGGUUUUCUUGGUUGAGGCAAUAGUAGGACUUCAAGCUAGGCAAGUAAUUAUGCAACUUUGAUCGUAGCAUGCAUGUCUUACUAGCAAGUUACCAAAAUUUAUUUUAAAUAAAAAAGAGUGAAUUCUUGAUCAAUUGAAAUUUACCGUCCACCAUGCCAGUGGAAGGUAUAUACAAAGGAUCGAUCAUCACUUAUUUAUUCAUUUUCUUUAUUCUUAAUAACCUACUUAUCUUCUUAGAUAUAUCCAUCAGCAAAAAUUGCUAGAGUGGUUGUUGUUCUUCCAUAGCUAGUAAGGCUUCUCCCCAACAUAGUUGCCUGGGGGAUCAUAGUUGCAUCCAAUGAAGGUACCCCCACUGCUGCACCUCACUUUUGCGCACCCUACACGAGCCGACUUACGCCAAACCACCUGUGUAUAAUGCCCACACACCUUUCCAGCAGCACACGAGUUCGACUUAUAACUGUAGUCGGCUUUCUCCUUCACCCACAGGUCCACAGCCGCUGUUCCCGACAGGUCACCAGUGCUCAUGGCAAGGUUUUCGCCGUAUGGCCCCUUGGAGUGCACAAGCUUACAGUCGCCAACACGUUGAUUGGCGUAGUUUUGUGCAUAGCGUGCUACAUUGUCAUCCCACGUCAAGGGACCAACGCCUACUGCUGCUCGAGCGGCGUUGUGGGAAUUGAG
RNAcentral lists this long non-coding RNA (41988 nucleotides) under Malus domestica (apple). RNAcentral's name for it is "long non-coding RNA (MDOM_LNC004829)". The record is from RNAcentral. Lineage: Eukaryota; Viridiplantae; Streptophyta; Magnoliopsida; Rosales; Rosaceae.